This 491-nucleotide ribosomal RNA is filed under the name uncultured bacterium. RNAcentral's name for it is "partial 16S ribosomal RNA". It matches the Rfam family "Bacterial small subunit ribosomal RNA", at positions 29 to 507 of the family's 1533-position model. The record is from RNAcentral.
GUGAACGCUGGCGGUAGGCCUAACACAUGCAAGUCGAACGGCAGCACAGUAAGAGCUUGCUCUUACGGGUGGCGAGUGGCGGACGGGUGAGGAAUACAUCGGAAUCUACUUUUUCGUGGGGGAUAACGUAGGGAAACUUACGCUAAUACCGCAUACGACCUACGGGUGAAAGCAGGGGAUCUUCGGACCUUGCGCGAUUGAAUGAGCCGAUGUCGGAUUAGCUAGUUGGCGGGGUAAAGGCCCACCAAGGCGACGAUCCGUAGCUGGUCUGAGAGGAUGAUCAGCCACACUGGAACUGAGACACGGUCCAGACUCCUACGGGAGGCAGCAGUGGGGAAUAUUGGACAAUGGGCGCAAGCCUGAUCCAGCCAUACCGCGUGGGUGAAGAAGGCCUUCGGGUUGUAAAGCCCUUUUGUUGGGAAAGAGAAGCAGCAGGUUAAUACCCCGCUGUUCUGACGGUACCCAAAGAAUAAGCACCGGCUAACUUCGUG